GCCGGAGUAGCUCAGUGGUAGAGCAACACUUUCGUAAAGUGUGGGUCGGGAGUCCGAUUCUCCCCUCCGGCU
Molecule: transfer RNA, 72 nt
Filed under: Candidatus Kaiserbacteria bacterium
Lineage: Bacteria; Candidatus Kaiseribacteriota
Description: tRNA-Thr
Rfam family: tRNA
About the family: Transfer RNA (tRNA) molecules are approximately 80 nucleotides in length.
Source: RNAcentral